Molecule: non-coding RNA, 1669 nt
Organism: Rhinopithecus roxellana (golden snub-nosed monkey)
Lineage: Eukaryota; Metazoa; Chordata; Mammalia; Primates; Cercopithecidae
Source: the annotation of a RefSeq genome assembly
CCACCCCCUUCCUGUCCAGAGCUGCAACUGGAGGAGAGCUGUGCAGAGGCGCAGGACGGGGAGCUGGACGAGCUGUGGACGACUAUCACCAUCUUCAUCACACUCUUCCUGCUAAGCGUGUGCUACAGUGCCACCGUCACCUUCUUCAAGGUGAAGUGGAUCUUCUCCUCGGUGGUGGACCUGAAGCAGACCAUCGUCCCUGACUACAGGAACAUGAUCGGGCAGGGGCCCUAGGGUCACCCUCUGUGGGGUGUCCAGGACCGCCCAGACCCCACACAGGAGCCAAGGGCCAUGCUUAGCCACCACCCAGGUCACUCGUGCCUCCUGACCUCACCCCCCUCAACCCCAUGGCUCUCUGGCCUCGCAGUUGCCCUCUAACCUUGCCAUACCAGACACGCCCCCCUUCCAGACCCUGUGCAUAGCAGGUCUACCCCAGACCUCCGCUGCUUGGUGCAUGCAGGGCACUGGGGGCCAGGUGUCCCCUCAGCAGGACAUCCCUGCCCUCCCGCCCACCAGGUGCUCACACAAAAGAGGCAGCGGCCGGCAUACCAGGAGCCCACCCAGGCAGGAGCUGGCCCUGGAGCCAACCCCGUCCACGCCAGAUCCUGAACACAGGCAUGGUUUCAAGAUGGUAAAUGUGAGCAUCAGCCACCAAGGCGAGGAAGCCACAGCACCAUCAGGACCUGCUGGGGAGGCUUCGGAGAGCUGCGAAGGCUCAGUCAGACGGCCUUCCUCCCAGCCCGCAGCCAGCCAGCCUCCGUUCUGGGCACUCCUGGGAACUGACAUGAGGAAUGAGGUUGUUCUUAUUUCAAGCCAAGCACGCUGCUCUCCGGCUCCUGGGAAGAAGCCUCCCAUGGAACAGGGUCUCGGGGCCAGCACCGCCCCUUGGCUGCCUGCCCACGCCGCUGGAUUCUCGGGUGGAACUCGACCCACAGGGACAGCCAGCCCCAGAGUCUGCACUGGGGAGAGGAGGGACCAGGGCCAGGCCAAGGACACGGCCACCUCCCACCCACUCCACUCCGCGGAGAUCACUCAGAGAAGAGCCCAGGCCACGUGGUCGCUGCAGGAGCCCUACAGGGCAAGGGCGAGGACAGCCCAAGGAAGGGGUGGGCAUCUGCCCAGACAGGUCUCCCAGAGGAGGCCUGGUGACCAGGUCCCAGGCAGGCAAGACUCAGCCUUGGUGGGGCCUGAGGACAGAGGCGGCCCAGGAGCACCGGGGAGAGAGGUGGAGGGACACCAGGAGAGCCAGGAGCGUGAACACAGCACAACUCAUCACAGAGGCUGAAGUCCAGCCCCAAGUCACGUGCAGCAGGAACAAGCAGCCACUCUGGGGGCAGGAGGUGGAGAUAGAAGACGGCACAGAGGGUGCCCGUGGCCUUGGGAAAGCGGGGCUGCUGGCCACGACUGCCGGACAGAGGCUCCCACGCUCUGCUGCCCGCGUCACGCCGUUCGGUGAAUGUCACGCAGAAUCCGCAGACAGGAAGGGAGGCACGAGCGGGAGCGCGGCAAGCGCCUGCCUCGGCCGUCAGGGAGGACUCCCGGCCUCACUGGAAGGAGGUGCCACGAUUUCAGCUUUGGUAGCUUUUUUCUUCUUUUAAAUUUUCUAAAGCUCAUUAAUCAUCUUUAAUGUUUCUUGUUUUUGAUGACAAUAAAAUAUCCUUUUUAAGUC